RNAcentral lists this ribosomal RNA (3718 nucleotides) under Deltaproteobacteria bacterium RIFCSPHIGHO2_01_FULL_43_49. Its description in RNAcentral is "bacterial LSU rRNA". It matches the Rfam family "Bacterial large subunit ribosomal RNA". The record is from RNAcentral. Lineage: Bacteria; Deltaproteobacteria. RNAcentral also lists the same sequence under 2 other names.
AUUUGGUCAAGCUAUUAAGAGCACAUGGUGGAUGCCUAGGCGUCUAGAGGCGAUGAAGGACGUGUCCAGCUGCGAUAAGCUUCGGGGAGCUGCCAAGAGAGCUUUGAUCCGAAGAUUUCCGAAUGAGGAAACUCUCAUCGGGUCAUACCGAUGAAUCCCGAGAUUGAAUACAUAGAUUUCGGGAAGUAAACUCCGGGAACUGAAACAUCUCAUGUACCGGAAGGAAAAGAAAUCAACGAGAUUCCCCGAGUAGUGGCGAGCGAAAGGGGAAGAGCCUAAACUUGCUCCACUUCGGUGGGGUGAGGGUUGCGGGACCUCAAUAUGGGACCAACAAGAGUAGAUGAACGGCAUGGGAAGGCCGGCCACAGAGCGUGAUAGCCGCGUAAUCAACAUUUGAGUUGGCCCUAGAGGUAUCCCAAGUACCACGGGACACGAGAAAUCCUGUGGGAAUCUGGGGAGACCAUUCUCCAAGGCUAAAUACUCCUAGACGACCGAUAGUGAACUAGUACCGUGAGGGAAAGGUGGGAAGAACCCCGAAAGGGGAGGUCAGUGAACCUGAAACCAUGUGCUUACAAGCAGUCAGAGCACUAUGCCCCGCCGCAAGGCGGGAUAGGUGUGAUGGCGUGCCUUUUGCAUAAUGAGCCAGUGAGUUACUGUCGCAUGCAAGGUUAAUCCCUUAAGGGGAGAAGCCGUAGCGAAAGCGAGUCCGAAAUGGGCGAAUUAGUAUGCGGUAGUAGACCCGAAACCAGUUGCGAUCUAUCCAUGGCCAGGGUGAAGUCUUGGUAACACAAGAUGGAGGCCCGAACUGGUGGACGUUGAAAAGUCCUCGGAUGAGUUGUGGAUAGGAGUGAAAGGCUAAUCAAGCCUGGAGAUAGCUGGUUCUCCUCGAAAUAUAUUGAGGUAUAGCCUCAUGUUAAUACUGUCGGAGGUAGAGCACUGGAUGGACUAGAGGUCUUACCGGACUAUCAAACCCAACCAAACUCCGAAUGCCGACAAGUUCUGCAUGGGAGGCAGACCGUAGGGGAUAAGCUCUAUGGUCGAGAGGGAAAAAGCCCAGACCGUCAGCUAAGGUCCCAAAAUCAUACUUAAGUGGUUAAGGAUGUGGAAGCGCACAGACAACCAGGAGGUUGGCUUAGAAGCAGCCAUCCUUUAAAGAAAGCGUAACAGCUCACUGGUCAAGUGAGUCUGCGCCGAAAAUGUAACGGGGCUCAAAGUAUGUACCGAAGCUACGGGUGUAAAAGUUUCUUCGGAAAUUUUUACGCGGUAGAGGAGCAUUCCGUAUGCCUGUGAAGGGUCAUCGUGAGGAGGCCUGGAGGUAUCGGAAGAGAUUAUGCUGGCAUAAGUAGCGAUUAAACGCGUGAGAAACGCGUUCGCCGAAAUUCUAAGGUUUCCUGGGGAAGGUUAAUCCGCCCAGGGUGAGUCGGGUCCUAAGCUGAGGCUGAAAGGCGUAGGCGAUGGACAUCCGGUUAAUAUUCCGGAACCGCUGUUUGCAUGUUAUGCAACGGAGUGACAGAUUGGGAUAGUUCAGCCCCCUGAUGGAUGGGGGUUCAAACGCGUAGGAAGAUCCGCCAGGCAAAAUCCAGUGGAUCAAUUCCAAGGCGUGAUGUCGACCUGGAUCGCAAGUGAAAGGGAAGUGAUUGAAUCCUGGUUUCAAGAAAAGCUUCGUUGUGAUGUAGAUGGCGCCCGUACCGUAAACGGACACACGUAGAAAGGGAGAAUAUCCCAAGGCGCUUGAGAGAAUUCUGGUCAAGGAACUCUGCAAAUUAACGUCGUAACUUCGGAAGAAGACGUGAUCUUUAAAGUGUAGGUGCACAACCGAAGCUUUGAAGAUUCGCAGCGAAAUGGUGGCGGCGACUGUUUAUCAAAAACACAGGGCUGUGCAAAGUCGUGAAGACGACGUAUACGGCCUGACGCUUGCCCGGUGCUGGAAGGUUAAGGCAAGGGGUCAAUCUCGCAAGAGGUGAAGCUCUGAACCGAAGCCCCAGUAAACGGCGGCGGUAACUAUAACAACGGUUGUAGUUAUAAAAUUCAGCUAUAUGCGGGAAAGUCUGGUUAGUAUCGGAUGAUACUCGUUGGGUUUCAGCCCAGCAGUAAAAAUGCAUCCGUGCAGGCAAUCCGCAGGAAAGACUUGGAAAAUUUAAAAUUCAAAAUGCAAAGUGCAAAACCACAAUGCAAAAUGAAAAAUUUCAGUUUUCUCAAGAAUCCUCAGAGACUAUACGCUGAAUCCGAUUCCACUGAAUCGGAAUGAUAUAGUCCGAACCCUGUGGCGACAUAGGGAGAUAGUCUGAAAGGACUAUCCGCCCCGCACUUUCAAGAAAGUGCGGGGUUAUUAAAGUAACAACGCGAACCGUCCUAAGGUAGCGAAGUUCCUUGUCGGGUAAGUUCCGACCUGCACGAAAAGCGUAACGACUGCCACACUGUCUCGACCGGAAGCUCAGCGAAAUUGUAUUGGCCGUGCAGAUGCGGUCUACCCGCGGCAAGACGGAAAGACCCUGUGCACCUUUACUAUAACUUGGCAGUGAAUUUCGGGCUUGUUUGUGUAGGAUAGGUGGGAGCCUUUGAAACCGGGGCGCUAGCUUCGGUGGAGGCAACCUUGAAAUACCACCCUGACUAUUCUGGAAUUCUAACUGACACCCCUAAUCGGGGUGCAGGACACUGUCUGGCGGGUAGUUUAUCUGGGGCGGAUUCCUCCCAAAAAGUAACGGAGGAGUGCGAAGGUCACCUCAGGCUGAUUGGAAACCAGCCGUCGAGCGUAAGAGCAUAAGGUGGCUUGACUGCGAGACUGACAAGUCGAGCAGGUACGAAAGUAGGCUUUAGUGAUCCGGUGGUCCCGCAUGGAAGGGCCAUCGCUCAUCGGACAAAAGGUACGCCGGGGAUAACAAAUGUUGUCCCGUUUGACAGGUAACUGUCAGACAAAGUAUAUGGCUUAUAACGGGGAAGCCCAAAUUUGUUGCGAUAUUAAGGGUAUCGCGCUGUCGUCACUUGAUGACAAAACAGAUGGGUAAUCCCGUGGGAAGUCGCGCGGCAUAGCUACGAAAUCAAAAAUAAAAGUGUAAAGAUCAAAAUUUUUGAGUUUUGAUUUUUGAGAUUUGGUCUUGUUGCGAAGCAGCGUUGACCCCGUAACGACUUCAUUCGUAAUGAAUGGGAUGGGUGUUACUUGUGAGAAAAAUUUCGCAAAAUCUAUGACAUCCAUAAUACGCCAUACUCCCACACGUUCAUGGAAAGUGCGGGAUGAUGAUAUAGUCUAUACUUAUCGAAAGAUAAGAUAAAUUGAACAGGCUGAUCGCUUCCAAGAGUUCAUAUCGACGAAGCGGUUUGGCACCUCGAUGUCGGCUCAUCACAUCCUGGGGCUGAAGCUGGUCCCAAGGGUUCGGCUGUUCGCCGAUUAAAGUGGUACGUGAGCUGGGUUCAGACCGUCGUGAGACAGGUCGGUCCCUAUCUGCCGUGGGCGUAGGAAACUUGAGGGGGGCUGUCCUUAGUACGAGAGGACCGGGAUGGACGCACCUCUGGUGUACCAGUUAUCGUGCCAACGGUAAGCGCUGGGUAGCCAUGUGCGGUGGUGAUAACCGCUGAAAGCAUCUAAGCGGGAAGCACGCCCCAAGAUUAGGUUUCCCCAUCAGACCACUCGAAGAUGACGAGUUUGAUAGGCGGGAGGUGGAAGCGCUGCGAGGCGUUUGAGCCAACCCGUACUAAUUGGUCGAUUGGCUUGGCCUUAUAU